Molecule: ribosomal RNA, 477 nt
Filed under: uncultured Chromatiales bacterium
Lineage: Bacteria; Pseudomonadati; Pseudomonadota; Gammaproteobacteria; Chromatiales
Description: bacterial SSU rRNA
Rfam family: Bacterial small subunit ribosomal RNA
Source: RNAcentral
GGCGGACGGGUGAGUAACGCGUAGGAAUCUACCUGGUAGUGGGGGACAACUCGGGGAAACUCGAGCUAAUACCGCAUACGCCCUAAGGGGGGAAGCGGGGGAUCUUCGGACCUCGUGCUAUCAGAUGAGCCUGCGUUGGAUUAGCUAGUUGGUGGGGCAAUGGCCUACCAAGGCGACGAUCCAUAGCUGGUCUGAGAGGAUGAUCAGCCACACCGGGACUGAGACACGGCCCGGACUCCUACGGGAGGCAGCAGUGGGGAAUAUUGCGCAAUGGGCGAAAGCCUGACGCAGCCAUGCCGCGUGUGUGAAGAAGGCCUUCGGGUUGUAAAGCACUUUCAAUUGGGAGGAAAAGUUCACGGUUAAUACCCGUGAGCUGUGACGUUACCUUUAGAAGAAGCACCGGCUAACUCCGUGCCAGCAGCCGCGGUAAUACGGAGGGUGCGAGCGUUAAUCGGAAUUACUGGGCGUAAAGCGCGC